This is a long non-coding RNA of Manduca sexta (tobacco hornworm), 834 nucleotides long. RefSeq lists it as uncharacterized. The transcript has 2 exons. Lineage: Eukaryota; Metazoa; Arthropoda; Insecta; Lepidoptera; Sphingidae. The record is from RefSeq and is a predicted model, not a curated record.
ACCUCUGCUGUCGAUGUACCGACGUAGGCUUAAUAGCCGGAUGUGGGUGACUGAUUUCCGUGAGCCGAAAGCUUCGCCGCCGCGGGACCUCCGCCCGAGGUCUGCGGUUCUUCAGUCCUGUGGGUCGGCGGCGCGUCGUGUUGACGCCUGCGCACGAUAAGAUAAGGAUCCCCUCCCUUCUCCCGUUCGACGUGCACUCGUCGGUUGCGAUCGAAAACCGCCGACUCGCAUAAAACAUUGCACGAGGCCGGCGCGGCGCAGCUCGGCGCUCUUGUACUGUGCUCACAUAGAUGUGCACAAAUAUGUCCGGCGUAGUUGGGAUUCUUAUAGGAGUACAUGUCAAGGUCUUCCAGCGGGUAUGUCUAGAGAAUAGCAACAAACGAGCAAGAGAACAACCAACAAAGAAACAACCCUAACCAUAUACCCAACUGAGGCCUCAAAGACUUCUGUCACUGUAAUAAAUAAAGACGUACAAUGAGACAUAAGUAUCGAAAUGCAAUCGAAUCAAACAAGCUAUUGACAGACGAAGCAUCUUGUAUCAGCCGCGAAAGUUGACAAAAAAGCGGGCGGCGCGUCGGCGCCGACGGCGCAGGUGGGCUCCCGUCAGCCGUGCUCACCCGUCACAACAUUAUCUAAUGUCACCAGGUGGACUUGACGCGUAAUAUUAAGCAAUUCAUUUAAUUCAACAAGAUUUUUAAUUUUAUUAAUAUUCAAUUCAAAAAUAUGUUUUUCCAUCUAUUUGCUAUUUAACUGUUUCACUUAAUUGCAUUGGAUUAAUUUCCGUACAAAUUUAUAAUUUUAUGCUAUCCAAAUAUAUUUUUGUAAAUAUUGUUA